UACGUAGGGUGCAGGCGUUAAUCGGAAUUACUGGGCGUAAAGCGUGCGCAGGCGGCUCCUUAAGUCAGAUGUGAAAGCCCCGGGCUUAACCUGGGAACUGCGUUUGAAACUGGGGGGCUAGAGUGUGGAAGAGGGGGGUGGAAUUCCCGGUGUAGAGGUGAAAUUCGUAGAUAUCGGGAGGAAUACCAGUGGCGAAGGCGGCGACCUGGGCCAAUACUGACGCUGAGGUGCGAAAGCGUGGGGAGCAAACAGG
Molecule: ribosomal RNA, 253 nt
Filed under: uncultured bacterium
Lineage: Bacteria
Description: partial 16S ribosomal RNA
Rfam family: Bacterial small subunit ribosomal RNA
Source: RNAcentral